AGAGUUUGAUCAUGGCUCAGAUUGAACGCUGGCGGCAUGCUUUACACAUGCAAGUCGAACGGCAGCGCGGGCUUCGGCCUGGCGGCGAGUGGCGAACGGGUGAGUAAUGCAUCGGAACGUACCCAGUCGUGGGGGAUAACACAUCGAAAGAUGUGCUAAUACCGCAUACGUCCUGAGGGAGAAAGCGGGGGACCUACGGGCCUCGCGCGAUUGGAGCGGCCGAUGUCAGAUUAGCUAGUAGGUGGGGUAAAGGCCCACCUAGGCGACGAUCUGUAGCGGGUCUGAGAGGAUGAUCCGCCACACUGGGACUGAGACACGGCCCAGACUCCUACGGGAGGCAGCAGUGGGGGAUUUUGGACAAUGGGGGCAACCCUGAUCCAGCCAUGCCGCGUGAGUGUAGAAGGCCUUCGGGUUGUAAAGCUCUUUCGGCCGGGAAGAAAUCGCGUCCUUUAAUAGAGGGUGUGGAUGACGGUACCGGACUAAGAAGCACCGGCUAACUACGUGCCAGCAGCCGCGGUAA
Molecule: ribosomal RNA, 520 nt
Filed under: uncultured Thauera sp.
Lineage: Bacteria; Pseudomonadati; Pseudomonadota; Betaproteobacteria; Rhodocyclales; Zoogloeaceae
Description: bacterial SSU rRNA
Rfam family: Bacterial small subunit ribosomal RNA
Source: RNAcentral